UCCAGUAGUCAUGCUAAAGGGGAAACACCCGUUCCCAUUCCGAAUACGGAAGUUAAGACCUUUGAGGCCGAUGGUACUGUACAAGUAAUUGUGUGGGAGAGUAGGAAACUGCUGGGA
Molecule: ribosomal RNA, 117 nt
Filed under: Candidatus Omnitrophota bacterium
Lineage: Bacteria; Pseudomonadati; Candidatus Omnitrophota
Source: RNAcentral